AGAAAACCUUUGUUUGCGCGAUAAAAAAAAAAAAAAAUCACACUUUCAUAAACCGAUCAGUAGAUGUAGCUGUUUUAAUACAUAUAUAAAACACAGUCACGGUGGCCGAGAGGUUAAGGCGUUGGACUCGAAAUCCAAUGGGGUUUCCCCGCACAGGUUCGAAUCCUGUUCGUGACGAUGUUUUUUCUUUUCAAAACUAUGAUUAUUAAUUUAUUAAACAAUUUAAAGCACACCAAACGGUCGAACAAACUGUGUGAAUAUGUUUAUUCACUUUCAUUCUUACAAGAAAAUGCACAUACUCGGCUGUAGAAACAUGUUUGGUUUUCACUUCUUUCUCAGUUUAAUGUUAAUAUGGGUGAGUUUUUGUUUCAAUUAAGUGGGUUCGCGUGCGAUAUUCAGCAAAAACGAAUCGACGUAUUAGAGGCCUGGCAAAAUCUGUUAGCUAACCCCAUCUGAGGUCGAGUAUCUAAGACAAAGGAUGGACACGAAGGGCGUUCAUGUAAAGGAGCUGACAGGACCUGACAUAUUACCAUAUCAGUGUGGGACGAAGUGGGCAGCCUGAUACAAACUGGAGACAAUAAAUCAUUUUUUUGCAUCUAUCGAAGAUAAAAACAGAAGCUCAUGGCAGCACUAGUAUGAAUCCUGGGCCUCCUGCUGGAUCUACAGCAAUCGGCUCUGCUGUGUUUUCCCCUUGUCCUGACCCCCGAGAGAUCUCCUUUGGUUCAGGUGGGCAUCAUUUGAACCGCAGGCAUUGGAACAGCGGCAGUGCUUCUCCAGUUCCAGGUGGAGGGCACGGAUCAAAACCCACUAUCACCAUAUCCAAAGGACGGGAUCCUCGCCGAGCCCUGAAGAGAUGAGAACAUGACAAUUAUAUUUCAGUAUCAGGGACAAUGCUGCUUUGUAUUUAUUAUUCUGUGUUUAUUUUUUUUUAACUAUCUUCUGUUUAUUGGUUGAUUGAUGGGUUAAGGGUUAUUUGAAUUGUAAAUUAGAUAAACUUUUUUUCUGGAUUGAUGAGAGGACAUUUUGCAGAAUAUGUGU
Long non-coding RNA from Cyprinus carpio (common carp), 1038 nucleotides. RefSeq lists it as uncharacterized. Lineage: Eukaryota; Metazoa; Chordata; Actinopteri; Cypriniformes; Cyprinidae. The transcript is spliced from 4 exons. The record is from RefSeq and is a predicted model, not a curated record.